This 374-nucleotide ribosomal RNA is filed under the name uncultured bacterium. Its description in RNAcentral is "bacterial SSU rRNA". It matches the Rfam family "Bacterial small subunit ribosomal RNA", at positions 28 to 414 of the family's 1533-position model. The record is from RNAcentral.
GACGAACGCUUGCGACGUGCCUAAGAAAUGCAAGUCGAGCGAGGUAGCAAUACCUAGCGGCGAACGGUCGCGUAACACGUAAGCAACCUGCCCCAAAGACCGGGACAACGUUCCGAAAGGAGCGCUAAUACCGGAUGUGCCCUGCGGUUGACAUCGGCUGCAGAGUAAAUCGAGCAAUCGGCUUUGGGAGGGGCUUGCGGCCUAUCAGCUAGAUGGUGGGGUAACGGCCACCAUGGCGACGACGGGUAGCUGGUCUGAGAGGAUGGUCAGCCGGAUUGGGACUGAGAUACGGCCCAGACUCCUACGGGGGCAGCAAUUAGGAAUCUUGCGCAAUGGGCGAAAGCCUGACGCAGCGACGUCGCGUGGGGAGAAGG